Malania oleifera is the source of this 1858-nucleotide long non-coding RNA. RefSeq lists it as uncharacterized. The record is from RefSeq and is a predicted model, not a curated record. The transcript is spliced from 2 exons. NCBI's taxonomy places the organism in Eukaryota, Viridiplantae, Streptophyta, Magnoliopsida, Santalales, Ximeniaceae.
UUCUUUUCUCCCUCUUUCAUUUUUUCUUGAUGGAGUUUCUUGUACGCUUUUAAAAAUGUGAUGAUGAUUGUGUUGUUCUGAUUUCUCGAUGGUCUGAAUGUUGUGAUUGCUGGCUCUUGUUAUGGUUUAAGCAUCCAGACCAAAGUUAGGGUUCCUGGUUUACGAGGUGACAAUGGUUUCUGGUUGAAGACAAGUUGACUCGUCUCCAACCAGUGAGUUGGGCCCAGGGGUUGACUCGCACGAGUCAACUCGGUAAGUUGUGUUACCCAGUCAAGCCCGAGUCAAGCUAAGUGGGCUUUGAGUUUCCGUUCUCAUUUUGAAACCGGGCUUGGACAUGUGUCUUGUAAUUGAGUUGGGUUGAGAGUGUUUUAAUGGGCCGAUUUUAUUUUGAAAACUAGUUGGGCCAGGGUCAUUUUUAAAAUUGGGUAUGGGCUGGUUUGGUUUAAAAAUGGGCUUGGGGGUUCAAUUUAGUAAACAUGGUCUGUUGGGUUUUAAAAUGGGCUUCAGGUUGAUCUUCCUAAAAUGGGCUUGGAGGUUUAAGUUCAAAAAUGGGCCUUUUUUAAAAAAAAAAAGGGUUGGCCCGCUUGAUACUUUACAACGAAGGCCCAAUUCUAAUUUUUCAGACUGUGCCAACCCAACUGGGAUUUUAGAAACAGGGUCAGCCCACUAAGCUUCUAAAAGCAAGGUCCAAUUGGAUUUUUAAAACAGAUUCUAGGUCGGCUCACAACAAAUAUCAGGCUGGGCCAAAACAUUUUACGGCCUAGUUCAAAAGACUGGGUUAACGGGCUUUAGGUUCAUUUCUUAGGGCUAGAUUAAACCCAACUUCCAACUCAGGUUCGAGCUAGACAAUCUGAAGACCCGAGACGAUGAUCCGAACUCAUGCUCGGGUAUGAGGAAACUCAGGUUCAGAAACCUCUGAGGAUGGAAAACAACUGCAUUCCUACUUGCACACAUAUAGAUUGAAUAUCUUUGAGAAUUGAGUUUUAGGCAUUUACCCUCUUUACUUUCCUCCUCCGGUCUUCUUGUCCUAAGCUCCUAAGUCUGUCUGUGCACGAAUAUUGAUGUGGAGAGCUCCUUACUCUGCUAUUGAAAGUUGUUCAACAUUCUGAAGUUGGAUUGCUGCUUUUGGGUUCUAAAUUUACGGAGCUUUUUCUUUCUGGCUUCUUCCUCUUUGAACUCCCCCAACUUUAAUUUCCAAACUAGUAGAACCUCUCCUCUCUUUCUAAUUUCUUUCUCUCCUAAUUCUGGCAGGGCAUCUCUCUGGGGGCGUUGCUCCCUAAAUUUAGCAGAGUUUUUCUGAGCUCUUUCUCUCAUUUUCCCUCUAUUUCCCCAACAUUUAUCUACGCUCCCUAUUUCUCUCCCCCUUCUACAGUGCCGCGAACCUCCCUAUUUAUAGGGAGGUGGGGUGAUCCUUUUGGCGGCAAAGUCCUCAGCGUGGCCUUCCCCCAACGAAAUUCCCCACCAACAAACUGUCAAGGAAUAAUCAUAUUCUCUCCAUGUGCUUUUAUUUUUUUCAUUUUAUUUUAUUUUUGGAUUUCAGCUGCUAACUAACUGUGUCAACCCUCCCUUUUUUGCGCAGGUGAAAAUCCAGUUGUCUGUCUAGGGUUUGCGGACCUUUUGAAUGGUUCUAGGUGGCAGCACAAAGAUGGCGGAUACUCCAAAUGGUGGCAUCGGAGUGGAGGGCUUUUGGGAACCCCCAGGUGGCUGCCCAGGAUUAGAGGAUUGAGCAUCUGCCUUUUUUUUGUAUAUAUAUUUUUUUACCUGCUAAUGUAUGUACCCCCGAGCAUUUUGUUCUGCACCAAUUAUUUGUACACUUUAUUAUCUUCCCAUUUUAUUUCCCAUGUUUAUUUGUAACUUA